GGCAAAUCUGAUGUUCAGUUCAAGUAUUUAUUGAAUCAGGCACCGUGCUAGGUCCUCUGAAACAGUUUCUGUACAACCUCAAGGAACUCAGGAGCUAGAAUCUCCCCUCGAGGCAAGAAAGGACCCAGGACUCUGCUCAGGGUGGGGCUGGGAACAGGUUGGGCUGAUUUGCAGGGACUGGUCUCGGAUUAAGGGAGACCAAAGUCACUGUGUUUGGAGAAAGAAGACUCGGGAAACAUAGACUGCUUAUAGCGUCAGAUCCAAGCGGUUGGGUGUGGGGGUAAAAGAGUGAAGACUGGAACAUUGUGAGGGCGGUGCCAUUUUUGUAUUUUCCAUCAUUGUACUCACAGCAUGUCUGGUUCACCAAAAGUUCAAACACUGUGUACACCCACAUCUUGUCGACUUGAAGUAGCUCAAUUAUUCUGUGGCGUUCAUGGGGCAGCGUGUAUGAUUCCCAUUUUACCAACUGAGAAAACAGACUCCAGAAGAAGUGCUGAUGUCCUACAGGUCCCAGAGGUCAAAGAGGUGAGUUGUGGUUGAGCUGGGUCGAUCUG
Molecule: long non-coding RNA, 554 nt
Filed under: Mustela putorius furo (domestic ferret)
Lineage: Eukaryota; Metazoa; Chordata; Mammalia; Carnivora; Mustelidae
Description: lncRNA (ENSMPUG00000027722.1)
Source: RNAcentral